Molecule: long non-coding RNA, 1370 nt
Filed under: Fukomys damarensis (Damara mole-rat)
Lineage: Eukaryota; Metazoa; Chordata; Mammalia; Rodentia; Bathyergidae
Description: lncRNA (ENSFDAG00000032619.1)
Source: RNAcentral
CCUUGAACUUGCAGUGAUCAUCCUGCCUCAGCCUCCAGGGUGCUGAGAUUACAGGUGCCACCGUGGCUGUCUGUGUACACUACUUUGUGUGGAGGCAUGUUGUACAAAUGUGAGGAGUGGUCACUGCUGACAUCUCAAGGAGGAGGCCAGGCUUGGACUGUGUCUCAGCAGGGUUGAGGUGGCGCCCAUGGAGGCUGUGGCCGCGCUGGCCCAGACUGUGUCCCUCUCUGGCUGCUUCCUGGGUCCCCUAAGACGUCUCGAGGGUGGAGAGGCAGCAUUUCCUUAGCACCUGCAUUUCUAAAGGCCAGAUGCUGGGCCGGGAUGGCCUCACCCAGGGACUGGCAGUGACCCUGCUCUCCCAGCUUCUGUCUUGUGUUCACACCACCCAGGGGUAGGCCGCGCGGUGGGAACGGCUCAGCGUCACAGCGGAGACCCAGAGGUGACCGGGCGGCUUGCGCACAAAGGCGGGCUCCUGGUGUGUGUGUCUGGAGCUCACCAGGGUCUCUAGUGGUGGCAGAGUGGGUGACAGAAGAGCAGGGUCUGGAGCCAGGGCCCCUUUGUGCUGCAAGCCUAGGAGGGCGGGGCCAGGAGGGAUUAUGGGUAAGUGGAUGUCAGGAGGGGACGAGGAGAGGCCAGGGGGGUGGGGAGGGGACGUGGGCAGCUGGCGAGCAUGAGGCAGUGGGUGGGGUUGGGGCCGCCGCUCCCAUUAUGUGGCUGUCAUCAAAGUGCCCGAAUGAAUGAAGGCUGGCUCUGUGUCUGCUGCUCCCUGAAGCACAGGAGGAGGGACUGCUGGCAGCUCAGCGCGGUGGGCAGCCGUCACUUCCAGGCAGAGGCCCUGAGGUGGCUUGCACUCCUCCUGCUGUCCCUGGCUCAGCCACUCCCGGUGGCCCUGUCCCCAAGGACACCAUGAAGGUUUCCUAAUUAAGCUGUUAGCUGCGUGGAGACCCGGAUGAGGCUGCCUGGUAGAGCGUGGCCAUGAUUUUGAACAUCAAAGGAGCCCUGGCUCACGGCUGAACCCCGGCGUGGCUUUUGAAGAGCUGCAUCGUAUAACAGAGAUGGAAAAAGAGGCCCGUGAUGCCAGUGUGGCCUAGUUAUGCUCCACCUGGAAAGGUAGGCGGGAGCGAGUGACUCUGAUUCUCUCCAGCACGCAUGGGGAAGGCUGACUGAGCAUCCAGGACAGGCCUUGGAGUAGUUGGGUGGGCUGGGUUUCCAUGGCUGAACCUCGCAUCGACUCUAGGAAAGGAGAGAGCAAUCGCAAGGCACCUGUCCAUCCAUGCGCGGCGAAGGCUGUCGGGUUUCCGAGUAAAUGAUCACAGAGGAGUCCGGGUUCCUCCGCCUGCCAGGAGGACCUUCCUCAAUUCAUGUUCACC